Molecule: ribosomal RNA, 450 nt
Filed under: uncultured bacterium
Lineage: Bacteria
Description: bacterial SSU rRNA
Rfam family: Bacterial small subunit ribosomal RNA
Source: RNAcentral
GUGGGGAAUAUUGGACAAUGGGCGAAAGCCUGAUCCAGCCAUGCCGCGUGUGUGAAGAAGGUCUUCGGAUUGUAAAGCACUUUAAGUUGGGAGGAAGGGCAGUAAGUUAAUACCUUGCUGUUUUGACGUUACCGACAGAAUAAGCACCGGCUAACUUCGUGCCAGCAGCCGCGGUAAUACGAAGGGUGCAAGCGUUAAUCGGAAUUACUGGGCGUAAAGCGCGCGUAGGUGGUUUUGUAAGUUGGAGGUGAAAUCCCCGGGCUCAACCUGGGAACUGCAUACAAAACUGCAUGACUAGAGUACGGUAGAGGGUAGUGGAAUUUCCUGUGUAGCGGUGAAAUGCGUAGAUAUAGGAAGGAACACCAGUGGCGAAGGCGACUACCUGGACUGAUACUGACACUGAGGUGCGAAAGCGUGGGGAGCAAACAGGAUUAGAAACCCUGGUAGUCC